This 253-nucleotide ribosomal RNA is filed under the name uncultured bacterium. Its description in RNAcentral is "partial 16S ribosomal RNA". It matches the Rfam family "Bacterial small subunit ribosomal RNA", at positions 524 to 776 of the family's 1533-position model. The record is from RNAcentral.
UACGAAGGGGGCUAGCGUUGUUCGGAAUUACUGGGCGUAAAGCGCACGUAGGCGGAUACUUAAGUCAGGGGUGAAAUCCCGGGGCUCAACCCCGGAACUGCCUUUGAUACUGGGUAUCUCGAGUCCGGAAGAGGUGAGUGGAAUUCCGAGUGUAGAGGUGAAAUUCGUAGAUAUUCGGAGGAACACCAGUGGCGAAGGCGGCUCUCUAGUACGGUACUGACGCUGAGACGCGAAAGCGUGGGGAGCGAACAGG